CCUUAUCUCUCAAAGUAUUUUUGGGGUGGGAAAAACCAGUAGCAAUUUCUGAUCUAAAUUCAGUUAACACAGUGUUACUUCCAAUUACCAGCUUCAUAAAACCAGCUUGAAACACAAUAACAUUUUUCUGAAGAUGGACAACAAAAGCUUCCCAGCAUGAAAGGUUCAGUGCACUUUGAACAUUCAUACACAUAUUAAAUGAUAAUGAAAGUCUCACCUGACUUCAGAAUUUCAUCAUAGAAGCUGCCAUUCUACAGAAGCUCACGUGCUGGGAAAUCAUAAGCCUGAUGGUAGAACAUGCACAUUUUCUAAGAUUAAGGCAAAGCUCUGGAUUGUGUCUAAUUCAUCAUUCUACCAUCUGUUUAACAUGGAUUUAUCACUAGUUACUGGCUUGGAGUAAGUAAUCUUUAAAAUUUCUAUUCAGUCUGAACAGUGAUCUGUAGAGUGUCAUCCAUAGAGCCUCUGUAGGACUC
This 473-nucleotide long non-coding RNA is filed under the name Vulpes vulpes (red fox). Its description in RNAcentral is "lncRNA (ENSVVUG00000014194.1)". Lineage: Eukaryota; Metazoa; Chordata; Mammalia; Carnivora; Canidae. The record is from RNAcentral.